This 584-nucleotide small RNA is filed under the name Pongo abelii (Sumatran orangutan). RNAcentral describes it as "retained intron". Lineage: Eukaryota; Metazoa; Chordata; Mammalia; Primates; Hominidae. The record is from RNAcentral.
UUUUUUUUUUUUUUUUUGGAGAGAGAUGGGGUCUCACUAUGUUGACCAGCCUGCUGUUGAAAUUCAUUGGGAUAAGCGGCAAGGUAGAGAGGCUCCCUCCGAGAAACUAUAAGUCAUUUGUCUCCCUACCUUACUUCCCUCUAGGUGCUGUGAGAAGCCAUCUUUCCGACUUCAAAAAACACCGAGCUGCUAGAAUUGACCACUAUGUUGUGGAAGUCAAUAAACUAAUAAUCAGGUUAGAGAAGCUCACUGCAUUUGACAGAACAAAUACUGAGUCUGCAAAGAUUCGAGCAAUAGAAAAGUCUGUGGUGCCUUGGGUCAAUGACCAGGAUGUCCCUUUCUGUCCAGACUGUGGGAAUAAGUUCAGCAUCCGGAACCGCCGCCACCACUGCCGCCUCUGCGGGUCUAUUAUGUGCAAGAAGUGUAUGGAGCUCAUCAGCCUUCCCUUGGCAAACAAGCUCACCAGUGCCAGCAAGGAGUCCCUGAGCACCCACACCAGCCCCAGCCAGUCACCCAACAGUGUCCAUGGCUCCCGCCGAGGCAGCAUCAGCAGCAUGAGCAGUGUUAGCUCAGUCCUGGAUGAG